UUAAUUGAAGAGUUUGAUCAUGGCUCAGAUUGAACGCUGGCGGCAGGCCUAACACAUGCAAGUCGAGCGGCAGCACAGAGGAACUUGUUCCUUGGGUGGCGAGCGGCGGACGGGGGAGUAAUGCCUGGGAAAUUGCCCGGUAGAGGGGGAUAACCAUUGGAAACGAUGGCUAAUACCGCAUAACCUCGCAAGAGCAAAGCAGGGGACCUUCGGGCCUUGCGCUACCGGAUAUGCCCAGGUGG
Molecule: ribosomal RNA, 242 nt
Filed under: Vibrio cholerae
Lineage: Bacteria; Pseudomonadati; Pseudomonadota; Gammaproteobacteria; Vibrionales; Vibrionaceae
Description: partial 16S ribosomal RNA
Rfam family: Bacterial small subunit ribosomal RNA
Source: RNAcentral